This 465-nucleotide ribosomal RNA is filed under the name uncultured bacterium. RNAcentral describes it as "partial 16S ribosomal RNA". It matches the Rfam family "Bacterial small subunit ribosomal RNA", at positions 28 to 507 of the family's 1533-position model. The record is from RNAcentral.
GACGAACGCUGGCGGCGUGCUUAACACAUGCAAGUCGAACGGAAAGGCCCCUUCGGGGGUACUCGAGUGGCGAACGGGUGAGUAACACGUGAGUAACCUGCCCUUGACUUCGGGAUAACUUCAGGAAACUGGGGCUAAUACCGGAUAGGAAUCCUUGCUGCAUGGUGGGGGUUGGAAAGCUUCGGCGGUUUUGGAUGGACUCGCGGCUUAUCAGCUUGUUGGUGGGGUAGUGGCUUACCAAGGCUUUGACGGGUAGCCGGCCUGAGAGGGCGACCGGCCACAUUGGGACUGAGAUACGGCCCAGACUCCUACGGGAGGCAGCAGUGGGGAAUAUUGCACAAUGGGCGGAAGCCUGAUGCAGCAACGCCGCGUGCGGGAUGACGGCCUUCGGGUUGUAAACCGCUUUCAGCAGGGGCGAAGCCUGUGGUGACGGUACCUGCAGAAGAAGCACCGGCUAACUACGUG